This 226-nucleotide long non-coding RNA is filed under the name Elaeis guineensis (African oil palm). RNAcentral describes it as "long non-coding RNA (EGUI_LNC018025)". Lineage: Eukaryota; Viridiplantae; Streptophyta; Magnoliopsida; Arecales; Arecaceae. The record is from RNAcentral.
GCCCAUUGGUGCAUGAGAUCUUUCAUUUUUCUACUGAUUUUUCUCUUUUCUCUGUUUGACACACCUUCAGAGAAGACAAUUUCGCUGCUGAUUGGUUGGCCAGCACUGGUGAUACUUUCUUUCUUUCCAAGUUGGACAUGAUUCUCCAUAAUUUAGCUAUUAAAGUACCUUCUCAGAAGCGUGGAGAUUUGGAACCAACAGCAAAAGAAUCAAGAAAGGGGGUGGC